CUGCCAGCUGCUGUUGGAUCCCUAAGCGUACUGGGAAUAAUGAUCAGUGGAAUCUAGUGACCACGGUGGAUUUGGGGAUCAGAUCUGACACUAAGGAACCAAACAGAUCACCAGCCGUUGCUAUUCUCCCUUUCCUAAGAGUUCCUCAGAACUGUCCCCGGACAUACAAGCUGAUGGCCUUCGAUCCUGAUGGAGACAAAGUUCAAUGCAGAUAUGGAAAUAUUAAAACUGGAGAGUGUUCCCUGUGUGACCAACCUUCAGGCUUUCACUUAAAUGAGGGAACCUGCACAUUACAUUACCACUCGUCCAGCGCUGACUCCAGAGUUUAUGGAUUUGAGUUGGUGGUGGAGGACUUCCCAGUAGGCUCCAUCAAUCUGACCUACUCCGAUGGAUCCCGAUCCUCCAGGACCCCACUGCUUGUGAGGCAUAAGAGAUCGGUAAAUCAUAAUGCACAAACAACCAUCGCGGCACCAACAACCACCGCAACACACAC
Molecule: long non-coding RNA, 493 nt
Organism: Pungitius pungitius (ninespine stickleback)
Lineage: Eukaryota; Metazoa; Chordata; Actinopteri; Perciformes; Gasterosteidae
Exons: 3
Source: RefSeq, a predicted model, not a curated record